GGCAGGCUUAACACAUGCAAGUCGAGCGCCCUUUUCGGAGGGAGCGGCAGACGGGUGAGUAACGCGUGGGAAUCUACCUAUCUCUAGGGAAUAACUCAGGGAAACUUGUGCUAAUACCCUAUACGUCCUUCGGGAGAAAGAUUUAUCGGAGAUGGAUGAGCCCGCGUUGGAUUAGCUAGUUGGUGGGGUAAAGGCCUACCAAGGCGACGAUCCAUAGCUGGUCUGAGAGGAUGAUCAGCCACACUGGGACUGAGACACGGCCCAGACUCCUACGGGAGGCAGCAGUGGGGAAUAUUGGACAAUGGGCGCAAGCCUGAUCCAGCCAUGCCGCGUGAGUGAUGAAGGCCCUAGGGUUGUAAAGCUCUUUCACCGGUGAAGAUAAUGACGGUAACCGGAGAAGAAGCCCCGGCUAACUUCGUGCCAGCAGCCGCGGUAAUACGAAGGGGGCUAGCGUUGUUCGGAUUUACUGGGCGUAAAGCGCACGUAGGCGGAUUGGUCAGUUAGGGGUGAAAUCCCAGGGCUCAACCCUGGAACUGCCUUUAAUACUGGCACGCGAGUGUGAGCUAAUCUCCAAAAGCCAUCUCAGUUCGGAUUGCACUCUGCAACUCGAGUGCAUGAAGUUGGAAUCGCUAGUAAUCGCGGAUCAGCAUGCCGCGGUGA
Molecule: ribosomal RNA, 660 nt
Filed under: uncultured Streptomyces sp.
Lineage: Bacteria; Bacillati; Actinomycetota; Actinomycetes; Kitasatosporales; Streptomycetaceae
Description: bacterial SSU rRNA
Rfam family: Bacterial small subunit ribosomal RNA
Source: RNAcentral